ACUGUAGCUCAGUUGGUAGAGCAACAGAUUCGUAACCUGUAGGUCGCGAGUUCAAUUCUCGCCAGU
RNAcentral lists this transfer RNA (66 nucleotides) under mouse gut metagenome. It matches the Rfam family "tRNA". Rfam says of the family: Transfer RNA (tRNA) molecules are approximately 80 nucleotides in length. Their secondary structure includes four short double-helical elements and three loops (D, anti-codon, and T loops). Further hydrogen bonds mediate the characteristic L-shaped molecular structure. tRNAs have two regions of fundamental functional importance: the anti-codon, which is responsible for specific mRNA codon recognition, and the 3' end, to which the tRNAs corresponding amino acid is attached (by aminoacyl-tRNA synthetases). tRNAs cope with the degeneracy of the genetic code in two manners: having more than one tRNA (with a specific anti-codon) for a particular amino acid; and 'wobble' base-pairing, i.e. permitting non-standard base-pairing at the 3rd anti-codon position. The record is from RNAcentral. RNAcentral also lists the same sequence under 1 other name.